Molecule: ribosomal RNA, 253 nt
Filed under: uncultured bacterium
Lineage: Bacteria
Description: partial 16S ribosomal RNA
Rfam family: Bacterial small subunit ribosomal RNA
Source: RNAcentral
UACGUAGGGUGCAAGCGUUAAUCGGAAUUACUGGGCGUAAAGCGCGCGUAGGCGGCUUUGCAAGUCGGGUGUGAAAUCCCCAGGCUUAACCUGGGAACUGCAUUCGAGACUGCAUUACUAGAGUAUGGGAGAGGGAAGUGGAAUUUCCGGUGUAGCGGUGAAAUGCGUAGAUAUCGGGAGGAACACCGGUGGCGAAGGCGGUUCUCUGGGCAUGUCCUGACGCUGAGGAGCGAAAGUGUGGGGAGCGAACAGG